Molecule: small nuclear RNA, 107 nt
Organism: Cervus hanglu yarkandensis (Yarkand deer)
Lineage: Eukaryota; Metazoa; Chordata; Mammalia; Artiodactyla; Cervidae
Source: Ensembl
GUGCUCACUGCAGCGGCACAUAUACUAACAUUGGAAUGAUACAGAGAAGAUUAGCAGGACCCCUGUACAAGGAUGACACACAAAUUCGUGAAGUGUUCUGUAUUUUC